CCGUGCACGACGGGGAGCCAGCGGUGCCCUGUAACCCGGAACCCGCUAUACCGGGGUCGAGCUCUUCUGAGGCUUUCGACCUUUUGUGGUACGGCGUGGCAAGUAGCGUUGAAGGCUGGGUCCUAUGCAAUGGGAAGGUGUGAACCAGGUCAGACCUUGACCGGAGCAGCCUUAAGCACUCGAUCCCAUGUGCCGUAGGGUCGCCUGGCCGGAGCCAACUGCUACGUUUGGCCACUUGAGGCGAAGUCGACGAAGAGCACGC
RNAcentral lists this signal recognition particle RNA (262 nucleotides) under Candidatus Brocadiia bacterium. RNAcentral describes it as "Candidatus Brocadiae bacterium (aquatic metagenome) signal recognition particle sRNA large type". It matches the Rfam family "Bacterial large signal recognition particle RNA". Rfam says of the family: The signal recognition particle (SRP) is a universally conserved ribonucleoprotein involved in the co-translational targeting of proteins to membranes. Archaeal SRP consists of a 7S RNA and homologues of the eukaryotic SRP19 and SRP54 proteins. The record is from RNAcentral. Lineage: Bacteria; Pseudomonadati; Planctomycetota; Candidatus Brocadiia.